Molecule: non-coding RNA, 161 nt
Organism: Gelatoporia subvermispora B
Lineage: Eukaryota; Fungi; Basidiomycota; Agaricomycetes; Polyporales; Gelatoporiaceae
Source: the annotation of a GenBank genome assembly
UCCGAUAUGGUGUAGUGGCUAACAUUAUCGCCUCUCCGAUCUCCGGACCGACCGAUCGCAACCGCACCGUGUCGUCCUUCCGCAUGCGGUGCCGUCCGCCCCCCACGUGAUCAUUUAUCACGUGACCGCGAUAGCCCGGGGUUCGAUUCCCCGUGUCGGAA